This 803-nucleotide ribosomal RNA is filed under the name Staphylococcus aureus. Its description in RNAcentral is "partial 23S ribosomal RNA". It matches the Rfam family "Bacterial large subunit ribosomal RNA", at positions 587 to 1395 of the family's 2925-position model. The record is from RNAcentral. Lineage: Bacteria; Bacillati; Bacillota; Bacilli; Caryophanales; Staphylococcaceae.
UAAUGGGUGAUGGCGUGCCUUUUGUAGAAUGAACCGGCGAGUUACGAUUUGAUGCAAGGUUAAGCAGUAAAUGUGGAGCCGUAGCGAAAGCGAGUCUGAAUAGGGCGUUUAGUAUUUGGUCGUAGACCCGAAACCAGGUGAUCUACCCUUGGUCAGGUUGAAGUUCAGGUAACACUGAAUGGAGGACCGAACCGACUUACGUUGAAAAGUGAGCGGAUGAACUGAGGGUAGCGGAGAAAUUCCAAUCGAACCUGGAGAUAGCUGGUUCUCUCCGAAAUAGCUUUAGGGCUAGCCUCAAGUGAUGAUUAUUGGAGGUAGAGCACUGUUUGGACGAGGGGCCCCUCUCGGGUUACCGAAUUCAGACAAACUCCGAAUGCCAAUUAAUUUAACUUGGGAGUCAGAACAUGGGUGAUAAGGUCCGUGUUCGAAAGGGAAACAGCCCAGACCACCAGCUAAGGUCCCAAAAUAUAUGUUAAGUGGAAAAGGAUGUGGCGUUGCCCAGACAACUAGGAUGUUGGCUUAGAAGCAGCCAUCAUUUAAAGAGUGCGUAAUAGCUCACUAGUCGAGUGACACUGCGCCGAAAAUGUACCGGGGCUAAACAUAUUACCGAAGCUGUGGAUUGUCCUUUGGACAAUGGUAGGAGAGCGUUCUAAGGGCGUUGAAGCAUGAUCGUAAGGACAUGUGGAGCGCUUAGAAGUGAGAAUGCCGGUGUGAGUAGCGAAAGACGGGUGAGAAUCCCGUCCACCGAUUGACUAAGGUUUCCAGAGGAAGGCUCGUCCGCUCUGGGUUAGUCGGGUCCUAAG